ACGUUUUCAGUAGUUUAAGACAUGCAAAUCGUUGUUUCCAACGUCCUUUUUAUAAUUAAUAUUAUAAUGUCAAUGGGAUUAGGGGAUAAGGUGUAGAGGUGAGUAUGUUAAAUAAGAUACCCUAUAGUCUUCUUAGCUAGGAGAUAUAAAGUAAAGGAAAAUUUCUGCUGUGGGAUUCUAUUUAAUUUGAUUAGGUAGUUGAUAGGGUAACGGCCUACCAAGCCAACGAUCAAAAGUCAAGUUUGAAAGAACCUCUGGCCACAUUGGGGAUGAAAUCUCCCAAGUAGUAAUAACACUACCAGCAGUCGAGAAUAUUAGUCAAUGCUCGUAAGAGUGAACUAGCUAACUGAAAUCAUAGAAUUUCUUUAAAUUCAUGAUGUCGUAAGGGAAAAUAAUGAUAAUACCUUACUAUGAGUGUCGUCCAAAGCUGGUGCCAGAAGACUCGGUAAGACCAGAGACGCAAACGUUAAUCAUCAUAAACAGGCGUAAAGGGUUUGUAGGCAGCUUUUAUAAGGUUACGAUUGCAAAUAAAGGGUAAUCUACAUUGAAAGCUAGAAUCAAAAAGAGGUUAUAGUGUAUAACGCCUAGAGGAGGGCUGAUAUCCAUAGAUCCUAGGCAGAAUACUCAGGGCGAAGGCCACUCUCCAUUAAUGAUUGACGCUGAGAAACGAAGGUUAGGGUAGGAAAUAGGAUUAGAUACCCCGGUACUCCUUUCUGUAAACGAUGAAUGGUAGUCAUUAGUUUAAUUAAAUAACUAGAGGCGAAGUUAACACAAUAACCAUUCCGCCUUGUGAGUACUACUGCAAAGUAGAAAACAAAAAAAUUA
This 825-nucleotide ribosomal RNA is filed under the name Ganoderma sp. 3 YD-2015. RNAcentral's name for it is "partial small subunit ribosomal RNA". It matches the Rfam family "Bacterial small subunit ribosomal RNA", at positions 33 to 911 of the family's 1533-position model. Lineage: Eukaryota; Fungi; Basidiomycota; Agaricomycetes; Polyporales; Polyporaceae. The record is from RNAcentral.